GGAUGUGAAGGCGCUCUGGCUGCCACGUCUGUCACCCCAGUGAUCACCAGGGUAGAUUUACACUGACCGGGCUGGCUAGGCCGGUGUCUCCUUUUUCCCUCACCCAUCCCCAUGCUUCCCUCCAGAAGCUCUUUCAGAGGACGCCCUCCCUCCUGAGCCAUGAGGAUCUUUCUUCUGCGCUCUGCUGCUAGAGCCUCCAAACUCUCUAGGUCUGUCUGUAGAACACAGAGUAGUCCAGCUUCCAAGACUCCAGACACAGCAAUGAGGUGCUGUAUAUGGCAGUCUGCCUUUCUUG
Molecule: unclassified non-coding RNA, 295 nt
Organism: Gorilla gorilla gorilla (western lowland gorilla)
Lineage: Eukaryota; Metazoa; Chordata; Mammalia; Primates; Hominidae
Gene: 7SK
Rfam family: 7SK RNA
About the family: 7SK was discovered as an abundant small nuclear RNA in the mid-70s but a possible function has only recently been suggested. Two independent studies have found that 7SK RNA binds the CDK9/cyclin T complex (known as elongation factor P-TEFb).
Source: Ensembl